UACAGAGGGUGCAAGCGUUGUUCGGAAUCAUUGGGCGUAAAGGGCGCGUAGGCGGUCUAGCAAGUCAAAUGUGAAAGCCCAGGGCUCAACCUUGGAAGUGCAUCUGAAACUGCUAGACUAGAAUCUCGGAGAGGGUGGUGGAAUUCCCAGUGUAGAGGUGAAAUUCGUAGAUAUUGGGAGGAACACCGGUGGCGAAGGCGACCACCUGGACGAAGAUUGACGCUGAGGCGCGAGAGCGUGGGGAGCAAACAG
RNAcentral lists this ribosomal RNA (252 nucleotides) under uncultured bacterium. Its description in RNAcentral is "partial 16S ribosomal RNA". It matches the Rfam family "Bacterial small subunit ribosomal RNA", at positions 524 to 775 of the family's 1533-position model. The record is from RNAcentral.